Molecule: RNA transcript, 2389 nt
Organism: Temnothorax curvispinosus
Lineage: Eukaryota; Metazoa; Arthropoda; Insecta; Hymenoptera; Formicidae
Exons: 12
Source: RefSeq, a predicted model, not a curated record
UAAUCUUUAAUCAAGGAUUUGUUGGUUGUCCAAUUUGUGAUAUACAAGUUUCGGUGAAGGAAUUGAACUUAAAAGUCAGAAGUUAUGAUCUGCAAUCACUCUGCAGUGCAGUAUUAAAGAUGAAGGAACACGAAUGUAAAGAGAUCACGUCAGCGGAAACUCCAUCGUUCUUCAAUACAGUGGACAAAGUGCUAAAUCUAAUGCAUGUAACGUUAAAAGAAGCAAAAUACAUUAUGACUAUAGUGAUGGAUCUCAAUGUUAUAUCGCUCGCGCUUCAAAUCAUUUGUUUAGCAGGUAACAUUUUAUCAAGGACGCUAUUAAGCAGAAAAGCGGAGAGAAACAAAUAUGCAUGUAACAACAGAUAUUCGUUUAAUUUGAAAGAUUACAUAACGCUGGAUAAGAAAAUUGAAAAGAAAGGGCGAGGCGAUGGAAAAAAGCUGCGGCGUAUGCUGGAGGCCUCGUACUUGAUCCGAAGAAAGGUUUCUAUGACAAGCUGGGAGCUUCAAUUUUUGGUAUUGUACAAGAUGUAUUAAUCCGAGUAUUAUACAAGAGUACAAUUUGUGUUUUACCAUCGUGCCCAGUGCGGCGUAUGCUGACGUCGAGUGCAGCAAUUAAAUAUUCUCGAGUUAAAUCUGGAGUCAGGUAUGAUCCCGAUCGAGAUUCACAAAUUAGUCAAAAGCAGACAGCAGAUCAAGCAACUCAUGAAAGCGCCGAAUUUAUUGCCGGAACAGAAAAUGGAUUACCAUAUCAGGCAAACGGCGUUGAACUUCACAGACAAUUCCAUGUAUGGAUGCUUAGGGGCGAUGCAUUAUCGAUUUUACGCUAAAGGUCUUGCCGCUCUGAUAACAGGGCUUUAGCCUAGGAGGAGGACGAGGAUAAAACGAAGAGAAAGGAGCAAUGUAAAGAACGCAAAGAAAAAGAACGAGAAAAGAAACGUGACGAAGAUGAUGGCAAAGGAAAGUGGGAAACCGUUAAAGGCGGCGUGGCUAUUCCCUUCGAGAAACCGAAGAUGUUCGUCAAGGACGUAGAAAUUAAUAUUGAAUAUUGGAGCGUAUUAUGGUAAUAGCGAAACAAUAAUGGAAGAAAUGCAAAAGUUUGAAAUGACGCUGUAUAAAAUAGAUGAUUGUGUGUUGACACUGGUGGAACGUUUCGAUGAGGAAUUCAUAAAGUUGUUGAAGGAAUGUGAUUUACACAGUAAUGAAUACGUGGAAAGAUAUAUCGAUGAAUUUAAUGUUCAAGAUCAAAUGGGAUUAGCUAUUGGUGCUCAUGAUGCAAAUAUUCAACAAGCGUGAAAAGUUGAUGACAUUACAAAUAUAGUUAGAAGAAAAUUCAUACACAUUUAAGAUAUAUAGAGAGACGCAUGAAGCUGUUAAGAAAGACCGAUCUAUGCAGGAAUAAAGCAGUAACCUAAAAAUAGAUAGUGACAGUGUGACAGUCGUGACCAUCGCCGCGUGAUAGAUGAUAGUGAUAGUGAAAUAUAUAUUGACGGCAGGGAGCUGAUGCCGAGGAGAUCUUUAAGAAGGAAGGUAUAUCCAAAAUCGCACACGACCAUUUUAUAUUCAACUAUAUGGUAUACAAUUUUGCCGCUAUAUAUUGACCGCAGGGAGCUGAUACCGAAGAGAUCUUUAAGAAGGAAGGUGUAUCCAAAAUUGCACAUGGGACUUGUGAGUUAUGCGAAGCAAUUGAUACUAUUAAGGUUCAUUGGUCAUAUAAAGUUUGCACACGUCAAGCUUGACAUCCUAAAGAUCACAAUGCAUUCUAAAAAUAUACCGUGCAGGUUCGUUGGCGUAUACGUGGUGUCAUACAAGAUGGAAGAUAUUUUCUAUGUUUUGGAAGUAAAAUUUGGAAAAUACAACAUGCCACAAUAAGCGCUAAACCAGGAAAUAUGGUACGACGGCUUUUUAUUUUUUACGUUAAUGCUGAAUGGAAAAGCCUAUAAGCAUAUUGCGGACAAGAUGAUGUCUAAUCUGGAUACAGCCACGAAAAAGAAAGAUAUGCGCAUGGCAGGGAAAUUAGCGCUAUUCACAGGCCUUGUAAGCAUAUUUAGUAACAACGAAGAUUCUUUGAAUUGAGCUCUGUCUUAAAAUCGCAUCAAUUGAAGUGAAUCCACUGCUGAGUGCUGAAAUUAUACGAUUUUAUCCGUCACAACAAAUAGACAAAGAGGAAUGUUUUUUCCAGUCGAUGGUCUCGAAUGUUGCUGACGUAGCUAUUUCGUUGUAAAUGCAUCAUUAUGAAAUGAUGAUCGGUAGUAAAUGAGAGAUAUGUUGUGAAUUAAAAAGAUGUCUACAUUACCUAAACAGUAUCUUUGUAUAAUUACAAACUAUCUUCAUCUAAUUUUUUAGUGACAAUGUCCGAAUAAUUUGCGUUAGUAUUUCUGUGUAAAAAAAAU